CGCCAUUCUCCUGCCUCAGCCUCCCGAGUAGCUGGAACUACAGGCGCCCGCCAUGAUGCCCGGCUCAUUUUCUGUGUUUUCAGUAGAGACGGGGUUUCACUGUGUUAGCCAGGAAAGUCUUGAUCUCCUGACCUCGUGAUCCUGACCUCGGCCUCCCAAAGUGCUGGGAUUACAGGCGCGAGCCACCGCGCCCGACAGCAGUUAUGAAGUUCUAAAAGCAAGUCUUAAUCAGGAAGUGUCCUUGAUCACCAACGGCUCGCCCAGGCAUGCUGGCUCUCUUCCACUUCCACCUUCCACCAUGGGAUGACGCAGUAAGAAGGCCAUCAGUAGAUGCCAGUCCCUCAACCUUGAACUUUCCAGACGCAGAACUUUAUGCCUCCAUUUUCCUCUGCUGCAUGGCCCCAGGAGAGAUUUUAAUUAGCUUUCUAACCUUGGUCCAGAUUGCACAUGCAAAUGGUAGAGGAUGCAACACCCCCGCUUGUGGAGCUGCCGCUUGUGUCUGGCAUGAAAAUUCACAAGAAGAGAGGAAAUACUGAGGAGAAAAUGGCAGAUUGUGUUUGCUGAAUUUGAUUGACGAAGAAGUCACCAUGAAAAUCACAGUGAACCAUUUGGAAAGCAAACUGCCAAAAAAUAAUAGUUAGUCAUGCUCUCAGGCUGGUUGUUUUGGCUGUUGUGGGUUUCUUGCAUUUCCAGAUGAUUGCAAAGAGCUGUUUCUCAAUUUCUGCAACAAGUGCCAGCUGAAAUUUUGGUACCAGUUUCAUUAAAUAUGUAGAACAAUUUGAGCCUGAGUGAGUUCUGUGGAGCCCAUACUACCUGCGAUUCAAGCCAGCAACCUUGGAAUCUCCCUGAACAAUUUCUAUGGUGUCCAAUCACAUUUGCAAUCACUCCCCACACUCAGACUGUGU
Molecule: long non-coding RNA, 905 nt
Filed under: Homo sapiens (human)
Lineage: Eukaryota; Metazoa; Chordata; Mammalia; Primates; Hominidae
Description: non-protein coding lnc-NETO1-1:21
Source: RNAcentral